GAUGAACGCUGGCGGCGUGCCUAAUACAUGCAAGUCGAGCGAACAGACGAGGAGCUUGCUCCUCUGACGUUAGCGGCGGACGGGUGAGUAACACGUGGAUAACCUACCUAUAAGACUGGGAUAACUUCGGGAAACCGGAGCUAAUACCGGAUAAUAUAUUGAACCGCAUGGUUCAAUAGUGAAAGACGGUUUUGCUGUCACUUAUAGAUGGAUCCGCGCCGCAUUAGCUAGUUGGUAAGGUAACAGCUUACCAAGGCAACGAUGCGUAGCCGACCUGAGAGGGUGAUCGGCCACACUGGAACUGAGACACGGUCCAGACUCCUACGGGAGGCAGCAGUAGGGAAUCUUCCGCAAUGGGCGAAAGCCUGACGGAGCAACGCCGCGUGAGUGAUGAAGGUCUUCGGAUCGUAAAACUCUGUUAUUAGGGAAGAACAAAUGUGUAAGUAACUAUGCACGUCUUGACGGUACCUAAUCAGAAGGCCACGGCUAACUACGUG
This 497-nucleotide ribosomal RNA is filed under the name uncultured bacterium. RNAcentral's name for it is "partial 16S ribosomal RNA". It matches the Rfam family "Bacterial small subunit ribosomal RNA", at positions 28 to 507 of the family's 1533-position model. The record is from RNAcentral.